UUCCUGUUUUCUAAGGCUUACCACCUGCAUGCAAUAACUGUGGGGUCUUAUCGUUUCAGGUUCCUGUUGCAGUGUAUAAUCAGAUGCAAUUCAGAAACCG
This is a long non-coding RNA of Alosa sapidissima (American shad), 100 nucleotides long. RefSeq lists it as uncharacterized. The record is from RefSeq and is a predicted model, not a curated record. The transcript is spliced from 3 exons. Lineage: Eukaryota; Metazoa; Chordata; Actinopteri; Clupeiformes; Clupeidae.